GCCGGAGUAGUUCAAUGGAUAGAACGGCGGCCUUCUAAGCCGCAUGUUGGGGGUUCGAUUCCCUCCUCCGGUGCCA
RNAcentral lists this transfer RNA (76 nucleotides) under Gemmatimonadota bacterium. Its description in RNAcentral is "Gemmatimonadetes bacterium tRNA-Arg". It matches the Rfam family "tRNA". Rfam says of the family: Transfer RNA (tRNA) molecules are approximately 80 nucleotides in length. Their secondary structure includes four short double-helical elements and three loops (D, anti-codon, and T loops). The record is from RNAcentral. Lineage: Bacteria; Pseudomonadati; Gemmatimonadota.